AAAACUUUACCAUCACUAAUUUGUGUUUUCCAAGUCAAAUCAAUCAAAAAAAACAUUACCAUCACUGAUUUGCAAUUUAGAUCUUUCAAAUCAUAUCAGAAUAACCAUACACAUCUUUGUCUACAUUUAUCCUAUCUCAUACUACUCCUCUCAGUCAUCUUCCUCCUCUCUUUUUUUAUUCAAACUUGUGUAAAUCAACUCACUGACCAUUUCAAUCUUUCUUUUGCUGAACCAGAUAAAGUUUUCUCAAAACCUCAAAUUUUAUUUUAUGGUUUUCAAAC
Molecule: long non-coding RNA, 281 nt
Filed under: Lathyrus oleraceus (garden pea)
Lineage: Eukaryota; Viridiplantae; Streptophyta; Magnoliopsida; Fabales; Fabaceae
Description: Pisum sativum (pea) long non-coding RNA (PSAT_LNC020317)
Source: RNAcentral